UACGGAGGGUGCAAGCGUUAUCCGGAUUCACUGGGUUUAAAGGGUGCGUAGGUGGGCAGGUAAGUCAGUGGUGAAAUCUCCGGGCUUAACUCGGAAACUGCCAUUGAUACUAUCUGUCUUGAAUACCGUGGAGGUUAGCGGAAUAUGUCAUGUAGCGGUGAAAUGCUUAGAUAUGACAUAGGACACCAAUUGCGAAGGCAGCUGGCUACACGAAUAUUGACACUGAUGCACGAAAGCGUGGGGAUCAAACAGG
Molecule: ribosomal RNA, 253 nt
Filed under: uncultured bacterium
Lineage: Bacteria
Description: partial 16S ribosomal RNA
Rfam family: Bacterial small subunit ribosomal RNA
Source: RNAcentral